Molecule: ribosomal RNA, 586 nt
Filed under: uncultured archaeon
Lineage: Archaea
Description: bacterial SSU rRNA
Rfam family: Archaeal small subunit ribosomal RNA
Source: RNAcentral
ACGGCUCAGUAACACGUAGUCAACCUGCCCUCGGGCCGAGAAUAAUCUCGGGAAACUGAGGCUAAUGAACGAUAGAUCAAGAUUCCUGGAAUGGGUUUUGGUCUAAACGGCGCGCCAGCAUCUUGGCGUGUCCGCCCGAGGAUGGGACUGCGGCCGAUCAGGCUGUUGGUGGGGUAAAGGCCCACCAAACCAGUAACCGGUACGGGCUUUGAGAGAAGGAGCCCGGAGAUGGACACUGAGACAAGGGUCCAGGUCCUACGGGGCGCAGCAGGCGCGAAACCUUCGCAAUGCGCGCAAGCGCGACGAGGUUAUUCCGAGUGAUUUCCGCUGAGGAAAUCUUUUCUUAGAUCUAAAAAGUCUGGGGAAUAAGGGGAGGGCAAGUCUGGUGUCAGCCGCCGCGGUAAUACCAGCUCCUCGAGUGGUCAGGGCGUUUAUUGGGCCUAAAGCAUCCGUAGCCUGCUCGGUAGGUCUCCUGUUAAAUCCAACGGCUCAACCGUUGGUCUGCAGGAGAUACCGCUGGGCUAGGAGGCGGGAGAGGCGGACGGUACUCCGAGGGUAGGGGUAAAAUCCUUUGAUCCCCGGAAGA